Molecule: long non-coding RNA, 3129 nt
Filed under: Solanum tuberosum (potato)
Lineage: Eukaryota; Viridiplantae; Streptophyta; Magnoliopsida; Solanales; Solanaceae
Description: long non-coding RNA (STUB_LNC011395)
Source: RNAcentral
CCAAAUUCGUCAAGAAAGACCCAGCCCACCCCUCUUCUGAAAAACAUCCAGACCCCUUCACGUUCUUCUUCAUUCCACAAGGUAAUCCAGCAAGAACAACAAGUCAAAACCUAAAUUUCCAAAUUUGCCGCCUCAAAUUUCCCUUUUUCUACCUCAUAUUCAUACAAUCUGCAUGCUUAGCACGAGCCUAAAGACACGCGGAGCUUCCAUAGGCAACCAUGGUGUGGUCCAUUCCAAUUUCCUUUUUCUUUUGAAUUUCGUUUCAAAUUCGUACUAUUCCAGCUCACUGGAGCUUGAUCCUCUAAGAUGUUUUCAAAAUUUGUUCCUCCCACAUCGAAAAAUUUCUCAGAAUUUGGAGAUUUUGGGUGCUAUAAAUACUCCCUCCCUCUUACUGUUCAACGAGGAGUUUUGGAGGCGAAGAAAAGAGCACCCCGCUAAGUUUUUUGGGAGUUCUUAUUUGCGUCACUGAAAUUCAGUUGAUUCACGGCUAUUUUGAGUCAGAGUGGUGGUGGAGUUCAUCAGGUCCAGACUCGAGUUCCAGUCACUGCCCAGAACCAGGUAACUCUUUCCUUUCCUUUUCUAUUUAGUUUAAUUUUAGUCUAUGUUGUUGUGUUAUGUGUUAGAGCCGAUUUAAGGCUAGUUAUGUUUCCUAAUAUUUAUAUGUUUGAUGAAUACUUUUUCGCUGAAUGCCUAAGUAUUGGUGAUUUUACAAGUAUUUUAGCUAUGUUCUUUUAUUCCUGAUGUGUUGUUUAAGUUUCCAAUCCUAGCUUCUGAAGAAAGUUACUGCUUGUUUUUUUCCAGAUUUUUCGUUUAGUAAAAUGUGAAAUCCUGUUUUGAUUUAAUAGCACAUUUUGCUUGGUUGAUUUUGUAUCGCAUCUGGUGAUUGAAAACAACCUAAAAAAUGCCUUACCCUUGCUAACUCGACUGAAUAGUUACUCCUCUAUUGUUCCUUAAGAAUCUAUCUCUUGCGCCAUAAAAUGGAUAAAAAUGUUAAUACUUGGUUUAGUUUCUAUCAUUUUGGUCUCUAUGAAAUAGAGGUUUAUUUAUAAGUUUAUAAAAUCUGAGGUCUCAAAUUUAUCAUUCAAGAUUGUUUUGUAUCAUGUUUUUAUCAGAUUCUUAAGUCAUAUAUGAUUAAAAUGCUGAUGUGACUUGUUCGAGUUUAGUUGUUAUUUAUACUAUGAACUUGUUUCUUUAGUUUAGUAUGACACUUUUGAUACUCUAUUCUGUUCGUUUGUGGUCCAAGUGAUUGAGCAAUUGUAUGUCGUAUGUAGAUUCAGUUUGAGUGCACUCAAUCUCAAUUCUACUUUUACAUAUGCUCCUUAAAGUGAACCCCUGCUUUCUUCUUUUUACAUCCAAUUCCCUUUUUCACAAUGUGGGUAUCUUGCUUGCUUCUUAUGUUAAGGAUUUUAUUUGUUUGAAAACCAUGAGUUGAUCCUAGGUUUAGUUGAGCUCUAGAUGAAGUUGAAUUUAAAUUCAACUUCUCUUAGGUUGCUCCUAAAUCCCUUAGAUCCUCAUGUCACUCCUCUGAGCUAUAGAUCCUAAAUUGUGUACAUUGGCUUGGCUUGGAAUUCGUCAUAUUUGCUGAUUAUUAGUUUAAAUAUUGGAUGUUAUAUAUGUGUUGUUCUAUUUGGAAGCUCAUAUGUCAUGUGUUUCUUUACUAAUUGUGAUCAUUUAUUGAUUUGCUCAGUUUCUGAAAUGGUAGAGCUUGUGCCUCACUUGUUUUGGAUAAUUUUCGUGUCAAUUUAAAUAAACUCAGCAUGUUAGCCUUACAAUGAUUUCUUCCAAGUACAUAUUUUGAAGUUUUGUUAUGCUCAGUUUACCUAGAGUUAGUAUGGAUCAAUUAUGCAUCUAAGUGAUAUAAUACAUGUUAGUACAUUGUUAAUUUAACUUAUUAUUUACUCUUUGUUAAAAUCAAUUAAAGUGUGGUAAUUUUGUGAGUUAGAGGCGAGUAAUUUAUAGCUAACAUAUGCUGAUUGAAAGUUCAAUCUAUUUAAUUAGACACAAGGCUAUAAAAUCAAGUGUUUUACUUUCUCUUUUUAGCAGCUUCUCCUAUCUUUGUGCUUUUCUUUUAUUAGUUUUUAUUUCUGAGUUGUAUUAGAUAAAGAUAAGAAGUUGCCUAUUUGUUUUAAUAUUAGUUUUUUAUGUUUCAAUAUAGACUAGAAUACUAUAAUCUUGUUUAAGUUCAUAUACAACUUCUCCGUUCAUAUAAUUUUAUUUCUAAGUUCCUUCAUUUCUCAAAAUAAUCUUCUUCGCCUUGUGCCUUGUUUAAGAAGACUGAUUUGUGUCGUUUAGUAUUGAAUAUUCUCGGCUCAGCUUUCCCUUUGGUUUUAUGUUCUCUGUAAUAAUAAUCCAUUUAUGUCUUCCUCUGUUUGUUUUAGCUUAUUUUAAAAAUCUCGCACUAAGUGUUUUUUUUUUAGUUGUUGAUCAUGCUUGUUCCUCAUUUUGGUUAUUAGUAGAAGGCCUACUCUUAAGAUGGUAGUUAGAUGUUGAUAGGUUCUAAGUUUUUCCUGUAAUGCUAAGUUAGCAGCUUAGCUUGAUUUUUUUUUUAUAUUAUUAUUAUUAUUAAUAUUAUUAUUAUUAUUAUUAUUAUUAUUAUUUUAUGUCAGUUCUAAUGUUACUUCCUUUCCUUUCUUUGCAUGAACUCUCUUGUUCGAGUCCAAUUGGACUCCCCAUCCCUUGCAUUUUCUUCUUUUCGAGUCAAACCUCCGCCAAGUUACGAAAGGGAAGCUGAUAUAUUGGGUCAAGACCCAAAAAACCAGCAGCAACAGGGGCUCAAAAGAGCUGAAAUGAGAGUGUUUUGGGUUCAAAUUGGCCGAAAUUCGAACACUUGAUUUUUGCAGCAGUUUUAGCAGUCUCAAAAGGCUAGAAAUAGCAUUUUUCGGACUUAAAAAAGUUCGGAAAUAGCACCAGCAGCAGCAAAUAAGAAGUAGCAAGAGGACUUAAAAUUGUCCAAGUUCUAUUCGCCCUUUUAUUCUCCUUAUAUUGUGAUUUUGUGAUAACUGCUGUUAAUUUCUAACAUUUAUUUUGUUAAUUUAGAUGAUAAUUGCACUUAAGAACUUUUUAUGUUCUUUCAUAGUUAUUGAAAAGCAUUGAAUCCAUGUUCAUGAGUUUGAACUAACUAUUUAGUUC